GAACGAACGCUGGCGGCAUGCCUACCCCCUGCAAGUCGAACGAGACCUUCGGGUCUAGUGGCGCACGGGUGCGUAACGCGUGGGAACCUGCCCUUAGGUUCGGAAUAACUCCCCGAAAGGGGUGCUAAUACCGGAUAAUGUCUUCGGACCAAAGAUUUAUCGCCUUUGGAUGGGCCCGCGUUGGAUUAGCUAGUUGGUAGGGUAAAAGCCUACCAAGGCGACGAUCCAUAGCUGGUCUGAGAGGAUGAUCAGCCACACUGGGACUGAGACACGGCCCAGACUCAUACGGGAGGCAGCAGUGGGGAAUAUUGGACAAUGGGCGAAAGCAUGAUCCAGCAAUGCCGCGUGAGUGAUGAAGGCCUUAGGGUUGUAAAGCUCUUUUACCCGGGAUGAUAAUGACAGUACCGGGAGAAUAAGCUCCGGCUAACUCCGUG
RNAcentral lists this ribosomal RNA (434 nucleotides) under uncultured bacterium. RNAcentral describes it as "partial 16S ribosomal RNA". It matches the Rfam family "Bacterial small subunit ribosomal RNA", at positions 27 to 507 of the family's 1533-position model. The record is from RNAcentral.